RNAcentral lists this microRNA precursor (114 nucleotides) under Paramuricea clavata. The record is from RNAcentral. Lineage: Eukaryota; Metazoa; Cnidaria; Anthozoa; Malacalcyonacea; Plexauridae.
UAUAGAUCAGUGGCUAAGAUGAGCGAGCGCGCGGGGGUGCUGGACAGGACACGACGGGAUUCUGCAGCGCAAGCACCCCGGCGCGCUCGCUCAUCUUAGCCACUGAUCUAUAUA